CUUUCCUUGAAGGCAGGAUUCACAAAUCGGAUAUGACUCGAAAGUCAAUGAGCCCAAAAGCCCAUGUUUAUCCAAUUUGUUUAUUCUGUCUUCUCCUAUAUGGCCAAGUUUGAGGUGUCACAAAUACUUCUGGUUUAUCUCAUCUCUAGAUCUUCUUGAUCCUAUGGCACUCACUACUUACUCAGAUACAUUCACCGAUACAUCUAUAUGUAAGUGAUAGAGACUGUCAGUCAUAAAACCACAUGAAACCCAUUUAUUUAUCAAAUAAAUAGAACAGUAGUUUUACAAAACUCUUCCUAUGCUAAACAAAAUAUAGAAAUCAAAUUUCUGCUAGCAGUAGGUAACAGUCCCUAAGUAUCCUAAGCAUAUCUGACAUACCUUCUGAAGGUCUGUCACCCUUAUUGCUCUUUAUGCUUCCCAUGCAUGUAGGACAGUUCAUCUUCUAAUGGCCAUUUCAUGAUGCAAUGGAAACGCUUUCCCUUGCAUUCGGCCUUUUCUUGGAACUUCCUUGCUUGGCCUUUUCUCGGUCUUCUGUUUCUUC
RNAcentral lists this long non-coding RNA (541 nucleotides) under Phoenix dactylifera (date palm). Its description in RNAcentral is "long non-coding RNA (PDAC_LNC022152)". Lineage: Eukaryota; Viridiplantae; Streptophyta; Magnoliopsida; Arecales; Arecaceae. The record is from RNAcentral.